This 80-nucleotide non-coding RNA is filed under the name uncultured Blautia sp. RNAcentral's name for it is "S10-Clostridia ribosomal protein leader". It matches the Rfam family "S10-Clostridia ribosomal protein leader". Lineage: Bacteria; Bacillati; Bacillota; Clostridia; Lachnospirales; Lachnospiraceae. The record is from RNAcentral.
UGAUAGCUAUGAAGCGAGAGGUUGCUACCACAUGGUAGGUUUUCCGUGGAGCGAAUGUCAAGUUAGGAAACUGACGACAA